RNAcentral lists this transfer RNA (77 nucleotides) under Ignavibacteriales bacterium. RNAcentral's name for it is "tRNA-Arg". It matches the Rfam family "tRNA". Rfam says of the family: Transfer RNA (tRNA) molecules are approximately 80 nucleotides in length. Lineage: Bacteria; Pseudomonadati; Ignavibacteriota; Ignavibacteria; Ignavibacteriales. The record is from RNAcentral.
GCGCCCGUAGCUCAAUUGGAUAGAGCAUUUGACUUCGGAUCAAAGGGUUGGGGGUUCAAAUCCUCCCGGGCGUACCA